RNAcentral lists this ribosomal RNA (468 nucleotides) under uncultured bacterium. Its description in RNAcentral is "partial 16S ribosomal RNA". It matches the Rfam family "Bacterial small subunit ribosomal RNA", at positions 28 to 507 of the family's 1533-position model. The record is from RNAcentral.
GACGAACGCUGGCGGCGUGCUUAACACAUGCAAGUCGAACGGAAAGGCCCUGCUUUUGUGGGGUGCUCGAGUGGCGAACGGGUGAGUAACACGUGAGUAACCUGCCCUUUACUUUGGGAUAACUUCAGGAAACUGGGGCUAAUACCGGAUAGGAGCUCCUGCUGCAUGGUGGGGGUUGGAAAGUUUCGGCGGUUGGGGAUGGACUCGCGGCUUAUCAGCUUGUUGGUGGGGUAGUGGCUUACCAAGGCUGUGACGGGUAGCCGGCCUGAGAGGGUGACCGGCCACAUUGGGACUGAGAUACGGCCCAGACUCCUACGGGAGGCAGCAGUGGGGAAUAUUGCACAAUGGGCGGAAGCCUGAUGCAGCAACGCCGCGUGCGGGAUGACGGCCUUCGGGUUGUAAACCGCUUUCGCCUGUGACGAAGCGUGAGUGACGGUAAUGGGUAAAGAAGCACCGGCUAACUACGUG